Molecule: long non-coding RNA, 2965 nt
Filed under: Gallus gallus (chicken)
Lineage: Eukaryota; Metazoa; Chordata; Aves; Galliformes; Phasianidae
Source: RNAcentral
UUUGGUUUGCACUUGGGCCCAAAAUCCAUUAGCCUACCUGCCAUUUCCUUCAUGAAAACAGUGUCAAUGAGCAUCUUAAGCAAAAGACGAAGUUGAAUAGGAUCAGGUAACCAUGUCACAUUCAGUGUUACAUCCAACAACAAAGAAAUGAAGGAGUAGCAGACAGGAAUAUUAAUCAUAUUUUCCUUUUAAUAAUGGUUUAGUCAAAAGUGGAGCUUUGAAAAUCUCUAGCUAAUUGUGAAAACCUGUAGAAGCUGGGAAGCAACCUCACUUUGAACAGUACAUUUUAAAGCUGUGGCUUGGCCUAUCUGCUUUCAAACUCUCCAGUAGCACUGCCAACCUUGUAAAUAACAACAGGUACCACCUGGAAAUAAAAAGUCAGCCUUUAAAAGUUGGUGAAUGUAGUAGUAUUGCAGCAGCCUAGCUCUGACUGAAGAAGAAAGAUGAGAUAUUUUUAUACAGUAAACAAAGACAAGGUAAACUGAAAUUUUCAGAGAUCACUUUAAGUGUAUACAAUUUGGAUUCUCAUCAACAUUUAAAACUACCAAUCAUAAGGUUGCCACCUUACCUUUUUCUGGACUGGCAUACCUGAUUUUAAACAGGUUUUCAUCAAGUCUCCCAAGUUUCUGAUCCUCUUAUCCAGUUUUCUGCUGUACUGCUCUCCCACCUUCGUGCUGAAUACCGAGUCAGUCCUGCCUUCUGCCUUUCUUGGCAGGAGGCAGAGCAAGCUUUUAAUUUCGGUAGUCAGAGUGACAGAACAAAAAAAGCACAGCAGAUAGAAGAGCUUAAUUCUUCCCCAGGAAGAAAAUACAUUUGGUUCAACAAAGGGCUGCAAAAUCUUCCAAAGGCACCUCUAUCCCCAGUUUUUGCCUGAAAGCAAGAUGGCAAUCUUAAUUGAAAAGGGGUGCUAAACCUUUUUAAUAACUUAAAAAUUCAUUUUUAUAUAAAGCAGCAAAAACAUGUUUCUCUGCAGAAAGAGAAAUGUUAACAAAGAAACACACCAACAUAAAUGCACUGUUCAUAAACUUCAGCUAAUUUAAUUUCACAAGAAAAUCAAAUUUUAGGACUAUUCUUUAACCUCAUCAGUACUUUCUGAAGAAGAUUCUUUGGCAUCUUCAGUCUCUCUGUUGCUUUCCUCUUUAAUUAAAUUUUCACUUUCUGAUUUGGUCCCAUUAAAUAGAGAGUUUUCACCAUUUACAAACCCAUUUUCUGUGACUUCCGCAUCCAUAGCUUCAUCAAUCUUUAAGUCCCCUUGCUCUUCCACAUCAUCUAGGUUUCUCAAGACAAUGGGGAGUCUGGAGUCCGCCACAGUGUUCUCCAACAAGGCAAUAUUGCUCUCUUCAUAUUUAGGAAGUGGAGCUCCAUCUGCCAUUUGUUUUGUAUAGUACUCUCGGCUAGCAGCAGCACUCUUUACUGCCUUCUCCAAGAUCUCUUUUUCACCUAACCGCAACUUGAUAGCCAUUGUCGCAUGUGAAGUAAGGUCAUGGGUCUCCAAGAAUGACUUAUCAUCCUCCACCGUUGUUUUAUAGGUUUUCAAAAGAAGGGAUGCUCUGGCUUCUAGGAAUGUCCAAAGUUUAACUUCAUUGUCCCAGCUAAUGGGAAACUCAGAGUUCCCCAGAGUGAAGAUUUUAUCAAUGGCAUGUUCGCCUAUCAAGUGUUCCUUCAGCUCUUCUUCAUUCAUACAAAACACUCGAAGGAAAGCCAGAAGCUGGGCAGAGAUCGGAGGUUCAAUGGAGUGCAAGGCAAAAACACUAGACGUUGGGAUACCAGCACGAGCUAAGACCUCUGCCUUCAUAGCAUACAGCCUGUCACUUUUACUCACACCAAGCUUUAUUUUCACUCUGUCAUGUGAAUUAUUAUCAAAGAAAAAACCACUGUGGAUCACAAAUUCAGCGUUUGACCGAGUGCCAUAAAAAAUGUAAAUCUGUUCUCCAGCCUUGAAAUCUUGAAGUGCUACACAUUCACACCGGUCAUCUUCUAAAUUGUAGCCUGUAGUGAUCAGUCCAUUGGUAUGAUUACACAUGUCCCAUAGAGGUAUUAGAGCCAAUGUAACUCUGGAACCAUCUUCUGUUGGAAUCUGAUUCUGCCGUGUCAUAACAGAGGAAACUGCCCAUCUGUAGUCGUCAUAAGUGAAAGAAUCCUUUAAGGGUAGUUUGCUGGCAUUAGGAUGGGUCUGAAUAACUUUGUAGAAAUACGCAUAUUGUCGAGCUGUGUUUUUAUAUUGGCUAAAAACAUCGUGUAUGGCCUGGGUUGACCGAAGAUACUGCACUUCAUCUUCUUCAAAGUAGAGAGGAGUAUCAUAUUCACUGGGGAGAGUCUGGAUGUAGGGCAGCCAGAAAGAGUUGGGGUUGGCUCGCUCACAAAGAAGAUGGAAUGCCAAUGUUAUAUUGCCCAUGGCUUGAAGAAUUCGAUCUUGAGAAUACAAGGAACCUAAUACUGAGUUUUUAGCUGACUCAACUGUCAUCAACAGUUUUCUAGGUACCCACAGAAAUAACUCUUCAGCCUUUAUCUCUCUCGUGGCUUUCAAACCAAACCCCUCCUCUUCAAAGUUAGCUAUUUCAAAACCCUCUGUGGAUGCUCCGUUUUCAGUUGCCCAUUUUAUCAGUUCAGGGAAAUAGUCAUCUCUUUUUCCAUCAAAGACAACAGACAAACCUUUUUGUUUCUUGCGAAUUUUCUCAACAAGUGAACGAAUCUGUAUAUAUUCUUCCCAUUCCUUACCAGGACCUGGGGUAGGACUGCUGCAUUUUUGCAACAACUCACUCGUCAGAUUCAACAGUUCCUUCGGAGAUACUGCUGCUGUGGCUCCUGUACCUGACUUCUGUGUUUUCACUCUGCUUUUCUUCCCCAUCUUCCAACUCCCGCGCGGAGCGGCCGCGGCCUCGGCUGCUGGGAGCGGCGCCGAACCCAGGCCGUCCCUCCGCCGGACGCCGCUGCCCGCGGGUGGGGAGGCGGAGGCCGAGCGAGG